RNAcentral lists this ribosomal RNA (1349 nucleotides) under Megadictyna thilenii. Its description in RNAcentral is "SSU rRNA". It matches the Rfam family "Eukaryotic small subunit ribosomal RNA", at positions 414 to 1786 of the family's 1831-position model. Lineage: Eukaryota; Metazoa; Arthropoda; Arachnida; Araneae; Nicodamidae. The record is from RNAcentral.
AUCCAAGGAAGGCAGCAGGCGCGCAAAUUACCCACUCCCGGAACGGGGAGGUAGUGACGAAAAAUAACAAUACGGGACUCUUUUGAGACCCCGUAAUUGGAAUGAGUACACUCUAAAUCCUUUAACCAGGAUCCAUUGGAGGGCAAGUCUGGUGCCAGCAGCCGCGGUAAUUCCAGCUCCAAUAGCGUAUAUUAAAGUUGUUGCGGUUAAAAAGCUCGUAGUUGGAUCUCAGUUCCAGACGAGUGGUCCGCCUACCGGUGGUUACCGCUCGUUCUGAACACGCAGUCGACUUCCCUUGAUGAUCUUCACCGGUUGUCUUGGGUGGUCGACAAGUUUACUUUGAAAAAAUUAGAGUGCUCAAAGCAGGCGUGACGCCUGAAUAAUGGUGCAUGGAAUAAUGGAAUAGGACCUCGGUUCUAUUUUGUUGGUUUUCGGAACACGAGGUAAUGAUUAAGAGGGACAGACGGGGGCAUUCGUAUUGCGACGCUAGAGGUGAAAUUCUUGGACCGUCGCAAGACGAACUACUGCGAAAGCAUUUGCCAAGAAUGUUUCCAUUAAUCAAGAACGAAAGUUAGAGGUUCGAAGGCGAUCAGAUACCGCCCUAGUUCUAACCAUAAACGAUGCCAGCCAGCGAUCCGGCUGUGUUCCUCAAAUGACACGCCGGGCAGCUUCCGGGAAACCAAAGCUUUUGGGUUCCGGGGGAAGUAUGGUUGCAAAGCUGAAACUUAAAGGAAUUGACGGAAGGGCACUACAAGGAGUGGAGCCUGCGGCUUAAUUUGACUCAACACGGGACAACUCACCCGGCCCGAACACAGGAAGGAUUGACAGAUUAAGAGCUCUUUCUUGAUUCUGCGGGUGGUGGUGCAUGGCCGUUCUUAGUUGGUGGAGCGAUUUGUCUGGUUUAUUCCGAUAACGAGCGAGACUCUAGCCUACUAAAUAGACGCUCCGAUCUCUCCGGUCGGACGUUCUUCUUAGAGGGACAAGCGGCGUUUAGCCGCACGAGACAGAGCAAUAACAGGUCUGUAAUGCCCUUAGAUGUUCGGGGCCGCACGCGCGCUACAUUGAAGGAAUCAGCGUGUGCUUUCCCGGCCCGACAGGGCUGGGUAACCCGUUGAACCUCCUUCGUGCUGGGGAUAGGGGCUUGUAAUUCUUCCCCUUGAACGAGGAACUCCUAGUAAGCAUGAGUCAUUAGCUCGUGUUGAUUAAGUCCCUGCCCUUUGUACACACCGCCCGUCGCUACUACCGAUUGAAUGAUUUAGUGAGGUCUUCGGACUGGCGCACGGAGAGGCCUCCGGGUCUCGCCGCCGUGCCGGAAAGAUGACCAAACUUGAUCAUUUAGAGGAAGUAAA